RNAcentral lists this ribosomal RNA (760 nucleotides) under Micrococcus sp. Its description in RNAcentral is "bacterial SSU rRNA". It matches the Rfam family "Bacterial small subunit ribosomal RNA", at positions 698 to 1454 of the family's 1533-position model. The record is from RNAcentral. Lineage: Bacteria; Bacillati; Actinomycetota; Actinomycetes; Micrococcales; Micrococcaceae.
GGAGGGAGACACCGAUGGGGAAGGCAGGUCUCUGGGCUGUAACUGACGCUGAGGAGCGAAAGCAUGGGGAGCGAACAGGAUUAGAUACCCUGGUAGUCCAUGCCGUAAACGUUGGGCACUAGGUGUGGGGACCAUUCCACGGUUUCCGCGCCGCAGCUAACGCAUUAAGUGCCCCGCCUGGGGAGUACGGCCGCAAGGCUAAAACUCAAAGGAAUUGACGGGGGCCCGCACAAGCGGCGGAGCAUGCGGAUUAAUUCGAUGCAACGCGAAGAACCUUACCAAGGCUUGACAUGUUUUCGACCGCCGUAGAGAUACGGUUUCCCCUUUGGGGCGGAUUCACAGGUGGUGCAUGGUUGUCGUCAGCUCGUGUCGUGAGAUGUUGGGUUAAGUCCCGCAACGAGCGCAACCCUCGUUCCAUGUUGCCAGCACGUAGUGGUGGGGACUCAUGGGAGACUGCCGGGGUCAACUCGGAGGAAGGUGGGGACGACGUCAAAUCAUCAUGCCCCUUAUGUCUUGGGCUUCACGCAUGCUACAAUGGCCGGUACAAUGGGUUGCGAUACUGUGAGGUGGAGCUAAUCCCAAAAAGCCGGUCUCAGUUCGGAUUGGGGUCUGCAACUCGACCCCAUGAAGUCGGAGUCGCUAGUAAUCGCAGAUCAGCAACGCUGCGGUGAAUACGUUCCCGGGCCUUGUACACACCGCCCGUCAAGUCACGAAAGUCGGUAACACCCGAAGCCGGUGGCCUAACCCUUGGGGGGGAGCC